RNAcentral lists this ribosomal RNA (502 nucleotides) under Arabidopsis thaliana (thale cress). The record is from RNAcentral. Lineage: Eukaryota; Viridiplantae; Streptophyta; Magnoliopsida; Brassicales; Brassicaceae.
CCCAAAUUUUGACCUUUAAGUACUUUUUCGGGCAUUUUCGUGAUUUGGGCUAUAUUACGGACCCAAAAUUACUUGUUCAAGCAUUGUUUUCGAAUUUUUUCAUGCAUCAAAGCUCGUUAAGACUAGAUGGGGUAUCCCUACAUAGCGGGUGGGACCCACGGCGAAUGGUUCAUCAAGUCUUCAAAAAAGAAUAUAUACGAUUGCAUUGCAUAUACUAACGGAUGCGAUCAUACCAGCACUAAUGCACCGGAUCCCAUCAGAACUCCGCAGUUAAGCGUGCUUGGGCGAGAGUAGUACUAGGAUGGGUGACCUCCCGGGAAGUCCUCGUGUUGCAUCCCUCUUUUAUGUUUAACCUUUUUUUUUUUGGUUAAAACUUUAUGACUCCAUAACUUUUAGACCGUGAGGCCAAACUUGGCAUGUGAUACCUUUUCGGAAAGCCCAAAGACAGCCCUCCGACGAAAGAAGCAGGACAAUGGAACUUUUCCAUUGACUUUUUGUCGAC